AUGAAGAUUUUGGAGGAAGUGUUCUUCUAUUAUUAUUAUUAUGAAGGGAAAAUUGAAAUUUGGUUGCCAAGGAGUGUUUCUUUAGCAAGUCAAAUCCCAAACGACCACCAUACUAAUUCACGGGUAAAUAAUCCGCUUAAGAUGCCAAUGAAAACGGGCCUAACUUGACAGCCCAUUACUAUUAAAGCCCAUCUCUUGGUUUCGAUUGUCUAGCCCAAAUCAUCAAUCAAUUGGACUGGGCUUGUAUCCAGCUUAACAUACCCAUAUUCAAAUACAAGCCAUCUCUACUCCACUUGUCGCGGUUGCUAGAGCCUCUUGCAUGCAAUUGCUACGUGUUCAAGAACUAAACCUUCAUGUCAAACGUGGCAACCAUUGUUACAUAUGUCUUGGGGGAUAAAUUUUGAAAGAGAAUUGAAGCUGGGGGAGGAAACCGCAGUCACCCACAAGAUGAGUCCUGAAGAAGUGAGAAGAACAGGUGCAGAAGGAUCCAAGAGG
This 495-nucleotide long non-coding RNA is filed under the name Populus trichocarpa (black cottonwood). Its description in RNAcentral is "long non-coding RNA (PTRI_LNC003947)". Lineage: Eukaryota; Viridiplantae; Streptophyta; Magnoliopsida; Malpighiales; Salicaceae. The record is from RNAcentral.